RNAcentral lists this long non-coding RNA (2640 nucleotides) under Mus musculus (house mouse). RNAcentral describes it as "RIKEN cDNA C730036E19 gene (C730036E19Rik)". The record is from RNAcentral. Lineage: Eukaryota; Metazoa; Chordata; Mammalia; Rodentia; Muridae.
GGGGAGGGUGGGAACAAGAUGGAAGUUGGUAUACUUAAACAUUAUUUUAAUUCAUUUGUCAUCAUCCAGAAAAUGUGGUGUUUGGGCAAUUUUGAAAGUGUUCUAAUAGCUCUCUUUAUUCCUUUUCAUAGAAAUUAACAAUUAAUCAUGAAAGCUGUAUUGUAGGAGCCCGCAAUGAAGCCUGCUUCCUUUAUACCUGUGUUGGUUUGAUGGGGCAGCUUUAAGUUGGAAGCUCUAAAUAAAGCUGCCAUACUUAGCUAUUGUAUACCUCUUCACAUCUAGUAAGUUUCCGAAGCAUUCUCCUCCCCCUCCUCCUUCUCCUCCGUGCCCUCUUUCAUUCUCCCUGGCUCUGUGUGUGUGUGUGUGUGUGUGUGUGUGUGUGUGUGUGUCAGUCUCACACCUAGCCAGAGUCAAAGGAUUCUUAAUAAGAAGCAAUCGAAAGCAAUCCUCUCUGCUGGCCUUACAUAAGAACCACACAGCAGCCGGUCUCCUGAGCCAUCCCUGUCACAUUCUCCUGUCUGCUGAAGACAGGAACAUCACCGAGAGUUGCUGGGAGAAGAAUGACUCACAGGUGAUACCCGCCACACACGUUAUCCUCAAGGUUGGAAAUAACCACCAAUAAAGGAGCCAGUCAAGAGAGUCCAAGGUAAACUAGAAAGCAAGUGGCCAGUAAAUCCGAAGACCAGAAGCUUCCAAGGUGGGGGAGGCUCAUGAUCCAGAGCCCCAAACGAUUACCUGACUUGCAAGCAAGCAACCAUUGAGACCCAGGAUGAAGUCAGGAAUGGACAUGCCACAACGACAGCCCAUAGGAAUGGACAAUCCACGACAGCCCAUAGGGUUGGACAUGCCACAACGACAGCCCAUAGGAAUGGACAUGCCACGACAGCCCAUAGGAAUGGACAUGCCACGACGGCGGCCCAUAGGAAUGGACAUGCCACGACGAAACCCCUUCACCUUGCUGAUCUCUAACUCAAAGCCACUCUGCUCCAGGUGAAGCCUCUGCCUUCACCUCUGGAUAAGGAUUCCAUACUUGCAUCUUUAAGCUAGUUCGUGGGCAUCUCUACGGAAGCCAUCCGCAGGCAUCUUACAGACACAAGAUCAGAAGGGGAAUAAGACAGUGCUGGCUCCCUAGGAUGGUCAAAAGAACUGACAUAAGAUAAUCAGGGAGUGCGUGGUACAUGAUGCAGCUCCCACGGUCUGCCUGCUGCUGCGGAACCCCAUCCCCCUUCACUAGCCCUCCAUCAACAUCACAUCCAUGGAGUCUGUCAAACUGAAUGGGUAACACAGGAACAACAGAUUUGCUUUGCAAUGGAAGUCGCUGGAACCUGAAACAAGAUGUGUUGCUGGCGAUGUAGCUCAAGUAGUUGAAUAUUUGCCUGGAAAACAUAACACAUUGUUCAUAGGCUUCAUUGUUCAACUUUCAGGUUCAAACUUAGUAGUCAAGAAAUGAUCAUUUAAAAAAAAUCUGAUUCAUUUUAGGUAAAAGGAAAAAUUAUCUUGAUUUUGCCCAAUACCUUGAGGAACAUUCUAUCUGAUCAUGAGAUAUCCCUAGGCUCAACUAUAAAACAUUUCUCAUGGCUUUGAGACAGGUGCUUGGGUAAAGCAAGCUGUAUAAACAGCAGCAGUAAAAACAAGCAAAACAGCAAAAUAAAGAACAACAAAGAUAAGAACAACCUGUACAUACCCUGCCCACAGAGAAGACAGUACAACAAGUGAUUGUAGCUGAACUUAGCCACUUUACGGCCAGUGCAAGCAAGCUCUGCCUCCUAGGCUAGGUGACCUUGCUCUAGUUCUGUAUACCUUGGCUUCCUCCGCAUAAAAGGAGAUUAAUGAUAGAAACAACAAUGUACUAAAGAUGAAGUUAGUAAAGGCUGAAGCAGUGACUCAGUUGGCAAAGUCCUUGUCACAUAAGCACAAGGAACUGAGUUUGAUCCCCAGAAUCCAGUUCUAGCACUGGGGUUAGACAUAGGUGGAUGACCUGGGUUUGUAGACCGCCCAGCCUAGCCUUAUCAGAGAGCCAUAGGCCAAAGAGACCCUGUUUCCAAGAAGAGUGAUAUCCAAGGCUGGCCUCUGUCCUGAACACCAGCAUAUGCCCACCUGUGUGUGCACAAGUACAACACACACACACACACACACAAGAUAAAGUUAAUGAAGCUAAAUGUGUGGCUCUUGCCAGUGAUCUAAGCAUCUGGGAGACUUAGACAAGACGAUUGCUACAUGUAUAAAGCCACCUUGGGCUAUAUAGUAAAUUCUGGAACUGCCUGAGCUACUGAUACCACAUCUCAAAUAUAAAAUUAAUAAAUACAUAGUAAUAGUAUUAGCUAUUACUUUAUAUAAGUCAAUUGAAAUAUUUGUACAACGUGAAAAUGAUAUUUGAGAUUGUGGCAUCAGUGAUAAUGAGGACAAAUGGACUUUAAUAAAGGCUACUUCUUCAAAUCUGCUUCAAAUCGAAUUUGUACUUGACAAAGAUUUAAGGGGUUCUUUUGACAUAUUUUCUCAAAUUUAGAAUUCUGCUGUAAAAGACGAAUGUUCUUUAUAAUAUACAUACAUGUAGAUUUGUUUUCUCAGAAUCUUGGGGUCUUUCUAAAUAUUCUCUAAGUUCACCAUAUUGGAGUAAAAUGGUGCAUUGGAUUGAUAAGC